This 86-nucleotide transfer RNA is filed under the name Caulobacter sp. 17J65-9. RNAcentral's name for it is "tRNA-Leu". It matches the Rfam family "tRNA". From Rfam's summary of the family: Transfer RNA (tRNA) molecules are approximately 80 nucleotides in length. Their secondary structure includes four short double-helical elements and three loops (D, anti-codon, and T loops). The record is from RNAcentral. Lineage: Bacteria; Pseudomonadati; Pseudomonadota; Alphaproteobacteria; Caulobacterales; Caulobacteraceae. RNAcentral also lists the same sequence under 1 other name.
GCGGACGUGGCGAAAUGGUAGACGCAGCGGACUUAAAAUCCGCUUCGCGUAAGCGAGUGUCGGUUCGAGUCCGACCGUCCGCACCA